RNAcentral lists this ribosomal RNA (442 nucleotides) under uncultured bacterium. RNAcentral describes it as "partial 16S ribosomal RNA". It matches the Rfam family "Bacterial small subunit ribosomal RNA", at positions 339 to 795 of the family's 1533-position model. The record is from RNAcentral.
CUACGGGUGGCUCCAGUGGGGAAUAUUGCACAAUGGGCGCAAGCCUGAUGCAGCAACGCCGCGUGAGGGAUGACGGUCUUCGGAUUGUAAACCUCUGUCUUUGGUGAAGAAACAAAUGACGGUAGCCAAGGAGGAAGCCACGGCUAACUACGUGCCAGCAGCCGCGGUAAUACGUAGGUGGCAAGCGUUGUCCGGAAUUACUGGGUGUAAAGGGAGCGCAGGCGGGACUGCAAGUUGGAUGUGAAAUGCUGAGGCUUAACCUCAGAGCUGCAUCCAAAACUGUAGUUCUUGAGUGGAGUAGAGGUAAGCGGAAUUCCGAGUGUAGCGGUGAAAUGCGUAGAUAUUCGGAGGAACACCAGUGGUGAAGGCGGCUUACUGGGCUCUAACUGACGCUGAGGCUCGAAAGUGUGGGGAGCAAACAGGAUUAGAUACCCGGGUAGUC